Molecule: non-coding RNA, 74 nt
Filed under: Vibrio metschnikovii
Lineage: Bacteria; Pseudomonadati; Pseudomonadota; Gammaproteobacteria; Vibrionales; Vibrionaceae
Description: Fluoride sequence
Rfam family: Fluoride riboswitch aptamer (crcB RNA motif)
Source: RNAcentral
AUGCGGCUAGGUGAUGAUGUUCCACCUAGCAGUUAUGCUAAACCGCUUUUCAAGCUGAUGACGUCUGUACAUGC